CGCCUGAGGAAGACCCCACGAAAGAGAUGUACGCCCAGGUGAAACCUUCCAGAUUCAGGAGGUCAGAGGUCACCUCUCCUUCCACCAUGUCAAAGGAAAUACUGAACAUGAAGGACAGAAAGGCAGUAAAAGGCAAAGUGAAGGACAGUCAGGCUGCUGCAUCUGAGGCCCCACAGGACGUGACCUAUGCCCAGCUGUUCUUCAUGACACCAAGACAGGGGCAGAAGAGACUCCUGCCUCCCAGGCAGGGAAUCCCCAGCUGAGACCAGGGAGCACCCUGCCCUAGUGUCCACAGCCCAGAAAGACUCUGGCCCUACACUCCACAGAGGGAGACUCAGGGGUGUCUGAGGGAUGUGAUCUUCCUCCAGGUGGACCCCCAUCUUGCUAGCCACACCUGCCACCACGAGAUUCUGGGAAUUGUAGGGACUUACUUGAUUCUGUUACAUAAUGUCCCUACAUUUUGUAAAUAAAGCAAAAAUUUUGUCGAUAAUCAAUAAAUGAUUA
This is a long non-coding RNA of Nannospalax galili (Upper Galilee mountains blind mole rat), 504 nucleotides long. RefSeq lists it as uncharacterized. The transcript is spliced from 3 exons. The record is from RefSeq and is a predicted model, not a curated record. NCBI's taxonomy places the organism in Eukaryota, Metazoa, Chordata, Mammalia, Rodentia, Spalacidae.